This 468-nucleotide ribosomal RNA is filed under the name uncultured bacterium. RNAcentral describes it as "partial 16S ribosomal RNA". It matches the Rfam family "Bacterial small subunit ribosomal RNA", at positions 28 to 507 of the family's 1533-position model. The record is from RNAcentral.
GACGAACGCUGGCGGCGUGCUUAACACAUGCAAGUCGAACGGAAAGGCCCUGCUUUUGUGGGGUGCUCGAGUGGCGAACGGGUGAGUAACACGUGAGUAACCUGCCCUUGACUUUGGGAUAACUUCAGGAAACUGGGGCUAAUACCGGAUAGGAGCUCCUGCUGCAUGGUGGGGGUUGGAAAGUUUCGGCGGUUGGGGAUGGACUCGCGGCUUAUCAGCUUGUUGGUGGGGUAGUGGCUUACCAAGGCUUUGACGGGUAGCCGGCCUGAGAGGGUGACCGGGGAGGGUGGGGCGGAGGUGCGGCCGAGACGGGUACGGGAGGCAGCAGUGGGGAAUAUUGCACAAUGGGCGGAAGCCUGAUGCAGCAACGCCGCGUGCGGGAUGACGGCCUUCGGGUUGUAAACCGCUUUCGCCUGUGACGAGGCGUGAGUGACGGUAAUGGGUAAAGAAGCACCGGCUAACUACGUG